AUUGAACGCUGGCGGCAUGCCUUACACAUGCAAGUCGAACGGUAACAGGUCUUCGGAUGCUGACGAGUGGCGAACGGGUGAGUAAUACAUCGGAACGUGCCCGAUCGUGGGGGAUAACGAGGCGAAAGCUUUGCUAAUACCGCAUACGAUCUACGGAUGAAAGCGGGGGAUCUUCGGACCUCGCGCGGACGGAGCGGCCGAUGGCAGAUUAGGUAGUUGGUGGGAUAAAAGCUUACCAAGCCGACGAUCUGUAGCUGGUCUGAGAGGAUGAUCAGCCACACUGGGACUGAGACACGGCCCAGACUCCUACGGGAGGCAGAGGUGGGGAAUUUUGGACAAUGGGGGAAAGCCUGAACCAGCCGUGGCGGGUGGAGGAUGAAGGCCUUCGGGUUGGAAACUGGUUUUUUAGGGAAAAAAAGCCUUCUUUUUAAAAAAAGGGGGUCUGAAGGGAACCGGAAAAAAAAGACCCGGUAAAUUAGGG
RNAcentral lists this ribosomal RNA (481 nucleotides) under uncultured bacterium. Its description in RNAcentral is "partial 16S ribosomal RNA". It matches the Rfam family "Bacterial small subunit ribosomal RNA", at positions 29 to 506 of the family's 1533-position model. The record is from RNAcentral.